UAAGGAAUAUUGGUCAAUGGACGCAAGUCUGAACCAGCCAUGCCGCGUGAAGGAUGAAGGUCCUCUGGAUUGUAAACUUCUUUUAUCUGGGACGAAAACGGGAUUUUUAUCUCAAUUGACGGUACCAGAGGAAUAAGCACCGGCUAACUCCGUGCCAGCAGCCGCGGUAAUACGGAGGGUGCGAGCGUUAUCCGGAUUUACUGGGUUUAAAGGGUGCGUAGGUGGGCUUAUAAGUCAGUGGUGAAAUCUCCGAGCUUAACUUGGAAACUGCCGUUGAUACUAUAGGUCUUGAAUUAUCUGGAGGUAAGCGGAAUAUGUCAUGUAGCGGUGAAAUGCUUAGAUAUGACAUAGAACACCAAUUGCGAAGGCAGCUUACUACAUAUAAAUCGACGCUGAGGCACGAAAGCGUGGGGAUCAAACA
RNAcentral lists this ribosomal RNA (421 nucleotides) under uncultured bacterium. RNAcentral's name for it is "bacterial SSU rRNA". It matches the Rfam family "Bacterial small subunit ribosomal RNA", at positions 355 to 774 of the family's 1533-position model. The record is from RNAcentral.